RNAcentral lists this long non-coding RNA (1872 nucleotides) under Sus scrofa (pig). RNAcentral describes it as "lncRNA (ENSSSCG00000053152.1)". Lineage: Eukaryota; Metazoa; Chordata; Mammalia; Artiodactyla; Suidae. The record is from RNAcentral.
GAGAAGCGCCCACCCGGGAAGAGGAAGAAGCGCGAGAUACUGUGGGAUCCUAAGUUAAUUGGUCCUUCUUAAAGGCCAUGGGUAAAAGACUGAGAGCAUUUGUUCUUGAACUGUUUGAAAACACUGAACUGAGAUCUUCUUAUCAUCAGAGAGUCACACCAAGGUAGGUCCAUCCAUGGUUAAGUCUAUGGGCCCAUGCUUUGCUUUUCCUGGGGACAGGGUUACGCACUUUCCUCUUUCAUCCUGAGAUAAUUGACAGUGAUGACAGCACUUUUUUUUCCUCUUGGGGGUUAAGAGUAGGUUUUCUCUAAUCUCUAAUAGAAAUGUUAUAAAGCAGCUGGUAUAUAAAAAGUCCUCAGGCAAUAAAAAAGUUAACAAAUGAAUAUAUUAACAAAGAUUUUGAAAAAUAUCUCACAUUUUCUGUAUCUGUUGUCAUGGAUAUAAAUUAUCUCCUAGGAAUGUGAUUUCACGCUCCCUGAAGUCAACUUGUCAAGACCAUCUUUUUUCCAGAUAUGUGAAGGAUUGUCACAUAGCAUACUGUGAGGCAGAAGUAUCCAACUAGCACAUUCUGUCCCGGUGGGUACCAAUCGGUAUAACAAAGACCUUGACCUACCUCCAGUCAGUUUUCUCUGAGUCCUCUUUUUGGCUAGGUAUUGGGCUCUGUCCUUGGCCUGAUUAUUGGUUUUAGCAAGUAUCCUGCUAAGUCAAUUUAGCAGGACUCUCCUACCCCUGGUCUCUUCACCUUGAUAUUUGAUCAAAUUCCUCAUCCCCAUGCUUGAUAUCUUAUCACCCUGGCCUGCCUUCAGCAAGAAUCCUGUUGAGUUGGUCUAGCAAGAAUCUCCCUAGCUUUGAAGUUUACUCUAUGUAAAUUUUCCAUCCACUGACCCCACCCUGCUCCUUGGCUAUAAAUAUCUACUCGUCCUUGUGCUCAGAGUUAAGCCAAAUUUUUCUUCUCUGUUGCAAAAGCCCAUUGUAGUAGUCCCCUUUGAAUGAAGUCUUCCUUACUCUCUUUCACAAGUAUUAGGAAUUCUUUUUCUUUGACAAAUGCAAUAUAUUUUCGAAGGCAUAUAAAUUAUUGUACUUGCUCAUUAUGUGAGGCAAAAUGAAAGAAAGGGUCUGAUGUCUGUCUAGUGAACUAAGGACACCAAGCCCCAAAAGGACAAGGGCUUAAGGCUGCCAAGCAUGGUUACUUUUAUAUGGCCUCUCAGAAACCACCAUUCACAAGUGUAAUUACUGUGGCCAAUGAUGUGGAUAGGUUUCCCCAGACAGUUUCAUCCCCAUGUACGCUUUCAUGCACUAUAAAGUGUGGUAAUCCGAACACCACAUUUCCCACCAUCCUUUGCAACUAGAGUCCUGGCAACAAAUUAAAUUCCAUCAGUUGUAUGGUGAGAUUUAGAAGUUGGGAGUGAGUUGGAGGCUGUCUUGUUCCUAUGGCUGUUAUGACAUCAAGCUUGGUCGUGGAGAUGUGUGUCUAUUGGUUCCGUUUCUCUGGAGAACCCUGACUGAUAUACUCACUAAUUAGCAAAUGUGCAUUUGCCUUGUCGGUGGGUUCAUUUGAUUCUAUGUUUUUGCAUUUUGUAGUAAAGCUUUUUGAUUAAAAUUUUAUUUUUAAUAGAUGAUAUUGUCACAUGGUCUGCAAUUUUAAAAGUACAAAAGGGUAUGGUAAUGAAAAGUAAGUCACUUACCUGUCUCUUCCAUUAGCCGUUAAAUUCCCUCUCUUGGAGUCAACUACUAUUUCCAUUUUUGUGUGUGUCUUUCUAGGGAGAUUCUAUGCAUUCCAAGUAUAUUUUUGUUUUCAUACGAGGGGAGCAUAUGUGCACAUUUUCUGCACUUUGCCUUUUCAUUUAGGAGAUUCCUUCAUAGAAGGAUACA